Molecule: long non-coding RNA, 1065 nt
Filed under: Panax ginseng (ginseng)
Lineage: Eukaryota; Viridiplantae; Streptophyta; Magnoliopsida; Apiales; Araliaceae
Description: long non-coding RNA (PGIN_LNC015119)
Source: RNAcentral
UAUGGAAGUAUUCUUGCUCGAUCGUCUAUUUGGGAAUGCGACUCUCGCGCAGGGGGCAAAUGUGGGCCCAUGUGCAAAAUUAGGGUUCACAUGACCUAAUUGAAUUAAAUGCACAAUUAGGGUUCCACGGCCUCAUUAAAUGUGCAAAUUGGGGUUCGCAUAACCAAAUUUAAUAAAGACGAAAAAGUCAGAAAUAAAUGUGCUAGACCCGGGAGAAGCCUCCACGCGUCCCGAGGCAGAAGACUCGUGGAGGCGGCUCGUUUUAGGAAUUGAUUGAGGGAUUGGAUUGGUGGCUAGAAGGACAGGGCAAUAUGGGCAUUAUUCUAAUGACUAAAGGGUAUUUCCGGAAAUUCCCUGAAGGCAUGUGCCUUGCACAUGACUACUUUCCAGAAAACCCUAUAAAUACCCCUUCCAUUCUAUUGAGAAGGGGACCUCUCUCCGAACACAAGACUCAGACUCUUUUGGUGACUUAAGGCUUGGAUAUUCCACCUAAAAGCACUAAAGGGUUUGGGACACUCGCUCUCAACUGAGAGGACUCUUUUGGUAGCUCAAGGUUUGGAUAUUCCACCUAAAAGCACCAACAAGAUUUGAACACUCUCAACUCGAAGAACUUUUGAAGAAGGCUCUUGGAAUUUCAAUAACCCUAACACGGUUUCCGGAUUCUAGGGGUUCUGCCACGCGUCGUUGGAGUAAUCGUCCACCUGUCGUUCUCCCCUCUACAAUCAAUCAAUCAAUUCCGUAUUCUUCGUGGAUUUCUCUCCUCCUCAGUCAACACGAAACCUUAGACAAGCAAGGCGCGAUUUCCUUGCCCACAUGGGGGAAAGGUACAUCAUGCAGUGUUGGAGUUGUUGCUGCGGCUGGAUCUGCUGACUGCACUGUGAGCCGCCCAUUUCAUCCUCGAUUAUGGUGGUGGUGAUGGUGGUUGUGUAGAUGGUGGCCGAGGCCAGAGCGAAAAGGCCUACAAGGAAAGCAGCUAGGGUUAUUGUAAGCUUUGCCAUUUUGAUUGUAUAUAUAUUGGAAAUUUGUUUAUGGUUUUUUGAGCUUGAGAUAAUUGAUGGAUAUAAG